RNAcentral lists this long non-coding RNA (1845 nucleotides) under Oncorhynchus kisutch (coho salmon). RNAcentral's name for it is "lncRNA (ENSOKIG00005010702.1)". The record is from RNAcentral. Lineage: Eukaryota; Metazoa; Chordata; Actinopteri; Salmoniformes; Salmonidae.
AUGGUAAGAGCAUUUGUUAAACAUCAAUGCUGUACCAGGGGGAUGUAUCACUGUCGCCUGCAUCACUCACAUCAAUUUGUGCAUCCUUCCUUGUGUUGCAGGACUGGUGACCCUCUGUCAGGUCACUAUGGAGUUCCCACUCUGUUUGCUUGCUGUGUAUUUUCUUUGAAGAGGAGGAGAGGAGGAGGAGGAAAGGAGAUGAAAAGCCUGCUCCCAAGGGCAGGUCACUGGAUCCCUGGCCAUGUCCUGGUAGGGGGUGUUGGGAGUCUGUCCCCUAGCAGGUACUGACUCUCAGCAUGACCUCGCAGGACCCGGUCAGUCGGGUCUGGUGAGCAGAGCCAGGAGCUGCAGAUCAGCUGAUCCGCAGCGACCUUGACGCACCGACGAACCCAAGCACCAGACACCUGAAGACACCUGAGACGACUAGAUGAAGCUCAUCCUAAGCACAAAGCUUAUAUUACUUACCUGAAUACUUAAACGAAAUGUACCCUAGAAUGCCGCCAGAUGAAGAACCAUUCUUUUCUUUUUUUGGUUGGCUUCUGGUUGUCUGCGUUGCUUGGUUUCGGCGGCUCAUGGGGGGCCUGCUGAAGAAAACGCAUUCCCAAAUACACUGCAAUGCUGAACGCAUAAUUUCCAUGAAAAUGUAAAAUUUUUAAUAAAAAUUGAAAAAAACAUUGCAACAUGAACAAACUUAUCUGUGCCGUUUGUGCUGUAGUUGUCAUUUUGGGUAUUUAUACACUCUGAUAUUGAUGCCACAUUGCAGAGAACAGCUGCAAAGUUUUAACAUCGCAAAUAAUACUUACAGUUAGUAGUGUGGUGCAAGUAAAUAAUAUCCAAGCCACUUGAAACAUCUUUAAACUCAUACAUACUGACAAUUUAAUAUCCGUCUCAGAGCAUUAUUUUAUUUGACUUUUUUCUACUUCGCUUUAUGUAGGCCUAGAUUAGCAUGUCGUUUAGCCUCCUCUGUUUGUUAGGUAAAUACAGUACUUCCUUGAACAGGACGGCCCUCGCUCCAGACGCGCAUGCACACACACAUGCCCAAGCGCACACACACGUCAUAGUUUGGUUUUGUUGCGUUGUCUUUGUUCAGUACAUAGUAACCAAAGAACAUACACUCUGUCUGAGAAAAGAAGAGGCAAUGCAGAAUUUAAACUAAACAAUGGACUUUGAUGGAAACGAAAGUAAAGCUUGCAGACUGUUAGGGUUGCGUAAAUUCGAAUCUGGUAUCAGGAUAAAUAUAACAAUGAGUCACCGAUUGUAUACUAUGUAUUUUAUUUAUUAAAACUAUAUUUUUCAAAAAAGGUCUAUAAUAGCCUCAACAGCACUCUGUAGGUUAGCACCAUGGUGUAGCCGGAGUACAGCUAGCUUCCGUCCUCCUCUGGGUAUAUUGACUUCAAUACAAAACCUAGGAGGCUCAUGGUUCUCACCCACUACCAGUAAUCAUGACAACUUCUGGAUGCCGUCCUCCAACCUAUCAGAGCUCUUGCAGCAUGAACUGACAUGUUGCCCACCCAAUCAAAGGAUCAGAGAAUGAAUAUAGUACUGAAAGCAUAAGCUACAGCUAGCUAGCACUGCAGUGCAUAAAAUGUGGUGAGUAGUUGACUCAAAGAGAAAGGCAAUAGUUGAACAGUUUACUUUUUUAAAUAAUCCAAAUUGAAGGAAAAGCAAGAGAGAAAUAGACAGACAUUUCAUUUUUGGGGGUUUAGUUUCAGUUUAAUUUACUUAGCUAGCAAAUGCAGCUAGCUAGUUUAGCCUAAUGAAACAGCCUGCUCAAACAGAGGGAUUCUAUCUUAGCUAGCUGGCUAUGACUAUCCAACUCAACACCGGAACUCUUCAAAGGUCGAG